GAUAUGGAAGCACCGUGAGGUGUGGAGUUGACUGGUACUAAUAGGCCGAGGGCUUGUCCUCAGUUG
RNAcentral lists this ribosomal RNA (66 nucleotides) under Streptomyces sp. SID8352. Its description in RNAcentral is "partial 23S ribosomal RNA". The record is from RNAcentral. Lineage: Bacteria; Bacillati; Actinomycetota; Actinomycetes; Kitasatosporales; Streptomycetaceae.